AUUAACUUAAAUAUAUGAAAAAUGUCAUUAAUUGAUCGUAAUAGUUUCAUUUGUUAACAGUAGAGUGUCACUUAAAAAUUUAUUCAAAUCUUGUUUAUUUAACAAAGUUUUAGAAAUGAUACUUGUAGUUUCUUUCUUUUAAAUAUGUAAUUUUUUUUAUUAAAAUAAUACUUGUAGUUUCUUUCUUUUAAGUAUGUAGUUUCUUUUCUUUUAAUACUUGUAGUUUUUUUCUUUUUUCUGUAGUUUUUUUUUCUUUUAAUACUUGUAGUUUCUUUCUUUUUUCUAUAGUUUCUUUCUUUAAAUACUUGUAGUUUCUUUCUUUUAAUUAUGCAGUUUCUUUCUUUUAAUACUUGUAGUUUCUUUCUUUUAAGUAUGUAAUUUCUUUAUUAAAAGGCGAGAUUUUUUGUAGUUUCUUUCUUUUAAGUAU
This 427-nucleotide long non-coding RNA is filed under the name Salvia miltiorrhiza (redroot sage). RNAcentral's name for it is "long non-coding RNA (SMIL_LNC001820)". The record is from RNAcentral. Lineage: Eukaryota; Viridiplantae; Streptophyta; Magnoliopsida; Lamiales; Lamiaceae.